This is a non-coding RNA of Pseudohyphozyma bogoriensis, 81 nucleotides long. The record is from the annotation of a GenBank genome assembly. Lineage: Eukaryota; Fungi; Basidiomycota; Microbotryomycetes; Chrysozymaceae.
UGGGCAGUUAUCCUAGUGGCAAGGAGAGCCACUGUAAAUGGCUUAGUUUAUCUACGGCAUGUUCGAUUCAUGCCUGCCCAA